UGAAAGGCGCAGAGGAAGAGGAGUAACGGCGUUUUCCGCGUACAGAGAGUGCCGGGUCGGUGUGACGGCAUGGCGGAACGGUGUGAAGGUCGCUUCGGAGCUGACGUGCGGGAUCCCACACGGACGGUUGCCCCGUUAUCGGCUGUCCCCCUAUGUUUUGGGGGAGUGAGUGACGCGCGGGAGAAAUCCCUUGCGUAAGAAGGGUGGUACCGCAGGUUUUUGCCUGUCUCUUUC
RNAcentral lists this non-coding RNA (234 nucleotides) under Clostridium sp. RNAcentral describes it as "T-box sequence". It matches the Rfam family "T-box leader". From Rfam's summary of the family: Uncharged tRNA acts as the effector for transcription antitermination of genes in the T-box leader family. T-boxes are found upstream of many aminoacyl-tRNA synthetase genes and some amino acid biosynthetic genes usually in Gram-positive bacteria. The anticodon of a specific tRNA base pairs to a specifier sequence within the T-box motif, and the NCCA acceptor tail of the tRNA base pairs to a conserved bulge in the T-box antiterminator hairpin. The record is from RNAcentral. Lineage: Bacteria; Bacillati; Bacillota; Clostridia; Eubacteriales; Clostridiaceae.